UACGGAGGAUGCGAGCGUUAUCCGGAUUUAUUGGGUUUAAAGGGUGCGCAGGCGGCGUGUCAAGCAAGCGGUAAAAUAGCGGGGCUCAACCCCGGCCUGCCGUCGGAACUGGGUGCCUUGAGUGGGCGAGAAGUAUGCGGAAUGCGUGGUGUAGCGGUGAAAUGCAUAGAUAUCACGCAGAACCCCGAUUGCGAAGGCAGCAUACCGGCGCCCUACUGACGCUGAGGCACGAAAGCGUGGGGAUCGAACAGG
This 252-nucleotide ribosomal RNA is filed under the name uncultured Bacteroidales bacterium. Its description in RNAcentral is "partial 16S ribosomal RNA". It matches the Rfam family "Bacterial small subunit ribosomal RNA", at positions 524 to 776 of the family's 1533-position model. Lineage: Bacteria; Pseudomonadati; Bacteroidota; Bacteroidia; Bacteroidales. The record is from RNAcentral.